RNAcentral lists this ribosomal RNA (1454 nucleotides) under uncultured organism. RNAcentral describes it as "SSU rRNA". It matches the Rfam family "Bacterial small subunit ribosomal RNA". The record is from RNAcentral.
GCUCAGGACGAACGCUGGCGGCGUGCCUAAUACAUGCAAGUAGAACGCUGAAGAGAGGAGCUUGCUCUUCUUGGAUGAGUUGCGAACGGGUGAGUAACGCGUAGGUAACCUGCCUUGUAGCGGGGGAUAACUAUUGGAAACGAUAGCUAAUACCGCAUAACAAUGGAUGACCCAUGUCAUUUAUUUGAAAGGGGUAAAUGCUCCACUACAAGAUGGACCUGCGUUGUAUUAGCUAGUAGGUGAGGUAACGGCUCACCUAGGCGACGAUACAUAGCCGACCUGAGAGGGUGAUCGGCCACACUGGGACUGAGACACGGCCCAGACUCCUACGGGAGGCAGCAGUAGGGAAUCUUCGGCAAUGGGGGCAACCCUGACCGAGCAACGCCGCGUGAGUGAAGAAGGUUUUCGGAUCGUAAAGCUCUGUUGUAAGUCAAGAACGAGUGUGAGAGUGGAAAGUUCACACUGUGACGGUAGCUUACCAGAAAGGGACGGCUAACUACGUGCCAGCAGCCGCGGUAAUACGUAGGUCCCGAGCGUUGUCCGGAUUUAUUGGGCGUAAAGCGAGCGCAGGCGGUUUGAUAAGUCUGAAGUUAAAGGCUGUGGCUCAACCAUAGUUCGCUUUGGAAACUGUCAAACUUGAGUGCAGAAGGGGAGAGUGGAAUUCCAUGUGUAGCGGUGAAAUGCGUAGAUAUAUGGAGGAACACCGGUGGCGAAAGCGGCUCUCUGGUCUGUAACUGACGCUGAGGCUCGAAAGCGUGGGGAGCGAACAGGAUUAGAUACCCUGGUAGUCCACGCCGUAAACGAUGAGUGCUAGGUGUUGGAUCCUUUCCGGGAUUCAGUGCCGCAGCUAACGCAUUAAGCACUCCGCCUGGGGAGUACGACCGCAAGGUUGAAACUCAAAGGAAUUGACGGGGGCCCGCACAAGCGGUGGAGCAUGUGGUUUAAUUCGAAGCAACGCGAAGAACCUUACCAGGUCUUGACAUCCCGAUGCUAUUUCUAGAGAUAGAAAGUUACUUCGGUACAUCGGUGACAGGUGGUGCAUGGUUGUCGUCAGCUCGUGUCGUGAGAUGUUGGGUUAAGUCCCGCAACGAGCGCAACCCCUAUUGUUAGUUGCCAUCAUUCAGUUGGGCACUCUAGCGAGACUGCCGGUAAUAAACCGGAGGAAGGUGGGGAUGACGUCAAAUCAUCAUGCCCCUUAUGACCUGGGCUACACACGUGCUACAAUGGUUGGUACAACGAGUUGCGAGUCGGUGACGGCAAGCUAAUCUCUUAAAGCCAAUCUCAGUUCGGAUUGUAGGCUGCAACUCGCCUACAUGAAGUCGGAAUCGCUAGUAAUCGCGGAUCAGCACGCCGCGGUGAAUACGUUCCCGGGCCUUGUACACACCGCCCGUCACACCACGAGAGUUUGUAACACCCGAAGUAAAUGAGGUAACCUUUUGGAGCCAGCCGCCUAA